UUCUAGCACAGCCACAAUGUUUCAUCUGUUU
This 31-nucleotide non-coding RNA is filed under the name Homo sapiens (human). Lineage: Eukaryota; Metazoa; Chordata; Mammalia; Primates; Hominidae. The record is from RNAcentral.